This 517-nucleotide ribosomal RNA is filed under the name Sticta dichotoma. RNAcentral's name for it is "partial large subunit ribosomal RNA". It matches the Rfam family "Eukaryotic large subunit ribosomal RNA", at positions 83 to 602 of the family's 3401-position model. Lineage: Eukaryota; Fungi; Ascomycota; Lecanoromycetes; Peltigerales; Lobariaceae. The record is from RNAcentral.
GUAACGGCGAGUGAAGCGGCAACAGCUCAAAUUUGAAAUCUGGCCUCUUCGGGGUCCGAGUUGUAAUUUGUAGAGGGUGUUUCGGGCGCGAUGCCGGUCUAAGUUCCUUGGAACAGGACGUCGUAGAGGGUGAGAAUCCCGUAUGCGACCGGCGAUCAAGCCCGUGUGAAGCCCCUUCGACGAGUCGAGUUGUUUGGGAAUGCAGCUCAAAAUGGGUGGUAAAUUUCAUCUAAAGCUAAAUAUUGGCCAGAGACCGAUAGCGGACAAGUAGAGUGAUCGAAAGAUGAAAAGCACUUUGGAAAGAGAGUCAAACAGUACGUGAAAUUGUUGAAAGGGAAGCGCUUGCAAUCAGACCGGUCCGGAGGCGAUCAGCCGCUGCUCGUCAGCGGUGCACUCGCCUGCGAUCCGGCCAGCAUCGGUUUGGGCGGCGGGAUAAAAGUCCCGGGAAUGUAGCUUCCUUCGGGGAGUCUUAUAGCCCGGGUCGCAAUGCCGCCCGCCCGGACCGAGGACCGCGCUU